GAUGAAGAACGUAGCGAAAUGCGAUAAGUAAUGUGAAUUGCAGAAUUCAGUGAAUCAUCGAAUCUUUGAACGCACAUUGCGCCCGCCAGUAUUGUGGCGGGCAUGCCUGUUCGAGCGUCAUUUCAACCAUCAAGCCCCAGGCUUGUGUUGGGGACCUGCGGCUGCCGCAGGCCCUGAAAACCAGUGGCGGGCUCGCUGUCACACCGGGCGUAGUAGAUUUUAUCUCGCUCAGGGCGUGCUGCGGGUUCCGGCCGUUAAAAAGCCUUUUUUACCCAAGGUUGACCUCGGAUCAGGUAGGAAGACCCGCUGAACUUAAGCAUAUCAAUAAGCGGAGGA
RNAcentral lists this unclassified non-coding RNA (336 nucleotides) under soil metagenome. RNAcentral's name for it is "partial contains 5.8S ribosomal RNA, internal transcribed spacer 2, and large subunit ribosomal RNA". The stretch from base 1 to 120 matches the Rfam family "5.8S ribosomal RNA", at positions 35 to 154 of the family's 154-position model. The record is from RNAcentral.